AGACUACCUCAUAGCGGGGGAUAACUAUUGGAAACGAUAGCUAAUACCGCAUAAGAGAGACUAACGCAUGUUAGUAAUUUAAAAGGGGCAAUUGCUCCACUAUGAGAUGGACCUGCGUUGUAUUAGCUAGUUGGUGAGGUAAAGGCUCACCAAGGCGACGAUACAUAGCCGACCUGAGAGGGUGAUCGGCCACACUGGGACUGAGACACGGCCCAG
RNAcentral lists this ribosomal RNA (216 nucleotides) under uncultured Streptococcaceae bacterium. RNAcentral describes it as "partial 16S ribosomal RNA". It matches the Rfam family "Bacterial small subunit ribosomal RNA", at positions 123 to 334 of the family's 1533-position model. The record is from RNAcentral. Lineage: Bacteria; Bacillati; Bacillota; Bacilli; Lactobacillales; Streptococcaceae.